Molecule: non-coding RNA, 529 nt
Organism: Camelina sativa (false flax)
Lineage: Eukaryota; Viridiplantae; Streptophyta; Magnoliopsida; Brassicales; Brassicaceae
Source: RefSeq, a predicted model, not a curated record
UUGUUGUCGCCGUGUUCUCGCUGUCGGGUUCGAAAUUCACCUAGUUGUGUUCUCGCCGUCGUGUUUGUCUGGACGUAUUCCUGCUGUCGUGUUUGUCUGGACGUAUUCUCGUCGCCGAUCUCGUCGCUUUGCCUUAUUGUGAAUUGGAUUAGAUACGAUGAAGUCUUUGAAAGGAGAAUGAACAAACACGGUGAUAGGAGACCUGGAGAUUGGGUAAUUUCGUUUUUGCUAAAGUCAAAAGGCUUCCAUGCUUGGCCUGCUAAGGUUUUUGUGACAGAACAACCUUGAACAACAACACAGUCAAUGCCACAAUUGAUUGGAUAGGAAACUGUAAUAUCAACAAUGAAACGCUUCUAUAUGUGCCUUGUGGUGUGUAUUUGACUCAGAGCUUCAAUCAUUGAUAUUGAGUUUGGUGAUCUCGUUCUUGCUAAAGUCAAAGGCGUGCUAAUGUAUCUAUCUCUCUCUCUCGGUUUAAUUCAUGAUCAUGUUUUAUUUUUUUCUAGGGUGGUCUUGCACAUACUGUUGUUUA